Molecule: long non-coding RNA, 621 nt
Filed under: Gallus gallus (chicken)
Lineage: Eukaryota; Metazoa; Chordata; Aves; Galliformes; Phasianidae
Source: RNAcentral
AAAAAAAUAAAAUAAAAUGUGGGAAUCUCAUUCCAGCUUUUAGAGGACAUCAGUUUUCAGGAACAGCUCCCUGAUAAAGCAGCAGUAGCAGGUGGCAGCAGAGUACCCACCCACGCAAGCUAUCUUCAGGGACUGGAGAGCCAAGCUAAUUACACUGCAGCUAGGACAGCAGCAGCAGCAGCACAUAGAGGAGUUAGACCGGAUGCAAGAAUGAAUUCAGUCUUGCUGAUCCCUUGCAGAGAAGGGUGCCUCCCCCUGAUUUCACUUGCGUUCCUCAAGGUGAGCUGGCUAGAAAGCAGCUGAUCGGAGGCUAGAAGACUUUAUGCAGCUAACAUUCAUUUAGAGAUGGACAAGGAGGUUUCAUUCUCACAAAACACUGAGGUAUAUUUUACAAAGAGUCUCAUACCUACCAUUUUGAGAAGAAAGGCAGAAAGCUUAAACUAAAAUCUUCCCCUGCAACGGAAAAGACAGUUAGUUUCCAUGAAGAAAUGAAGGCAGUGAUUUGCUUAGGCUUGUCUAUCAUUUUCUAAAUCUUUAUCAUGACACUGCAGCAGUUUGAAGCAGAUAUUUCUCUGCAAAAUCCCUGCCUUUUUUAUAUCAUAAGAACACAGCCAUUCUAAG